RNAcentral lists this unclassified non-coding RNA (345 nucleotides) under soil metagenome. RNAcentral's name for it is "partial contains 5.8S ribosomal RNA, internal transcribed spacer 2, and large subunit ribosomal RNA". The stretch from base 1 to 120 matches the Rfam family "5.8S ribosomal RNA", at positions 35 to 154 of the family's 154-position model. The record is from RNAcentral.
GAUGAAGAACGCAGCGAAAUGUGAUACGUAAUGUGAAUUGCAGAAUUCAGUGAAUCAUCGAGUCUUUGAACGCACAUUGCGCCCCCUGGUAUUCCGGGGGGCAUGCCUGUCCGAGCGUCAUUGCUGCCCUCAAGCACGGCUUGUGUGUUGGGCCUCCGUCCUCCUCCUGGGGGACGGGCCCGAAAGGCAGCGGCGGCACCGCGUCCGGUCCUCGAGCGUAUGGGGCUUCGUCACCCGCUCUUGUAGGCCCGGCCGGCGCUUGCCGACACAUCAAUCUUUUUUCCAGGUUGACCUCGGAUCAGGUAGGGAUACCCGCUGAACUUAAGCAUAUCAAUAAGCGGAGGA